AGUCUGAUAAAGCAUGCUAGUUGCACGAGUUCAUACUCGUGGCGAAAAGCUCAGUAACACGUGGCCAAACUACCCUACAGAGAACGAUAACCUCGGGAAACUGAGGCUAAUAGUUCAUACGGGAGUCAUGCUGGAAUGCCGACUCCCCGAAACGCUCAGGCGCUGUAGGAUGUGGCUGCGGCCGAUUAGGUAGACGGUGGGGUAACGGCCCACCGUGCCGAUAAUCGGUACGGGUUGUGAGAGCAAGAGCCCGGAGACGGAAUCUGAGACAAGAUUCCGGGCCCUACGGGGCGCAGCAGGCGCGAAACCUUUACACUGCACGCAAGUGCGAUAAGGGGACCCCAAGUGCGAGGGCAUAUAGUCCUCGCUUUUCACGACUGUAAGGCGGUCGAGGAAUAAGAGCUGGGCAAGACCGGUGCCAGCCGCCGCGGUAAUACCGGCAGCUCAAGUGAUGACCGAUAUUAUUGGGCCUAAAGCGUCCGUAGCCGGCCACGAAGGUUCAUCGGGAAAUCCGCCAGCUCAACUGGCGGGCGUCCGGUGAAAACCACGUGGCUUGGGACCGGAAGGCUCGAGGGGUACGUCCGGGGUAGGAGUGAAAUCCCGUAAUCCUGGACGGACCACCGAUGGCGAAAGCACCUCGAGAAGACGGAUCCGACGGUGAGGGACGAAAGCUAGGGUCUCGAACCGGAUUAGAUACCCGGGUAGUCCUAGCUGUAAACGAUGCUCGCUAGGUGUGACACAGGCUACGAGCCUGUGCUGUGCCGUAGGGAAGCCGAGAAGCGAGCCGCCUGGGAAGUACGUCCGCAAGGAUGAAACUUAAAGGAAUUGGCGGGGGAGCACUACAACCGGAGGAGCCUGCGGUUUAUUUGGACUCAACGCCGGACAUCUCACCAGCUCCGACUACAGUGAUGACGAUCAGGUUGAUGACCUUAUCACGACGCUGUA
RNAcentral lists this ribosomal RNA (945 nucleotides) under Haloferax volcanii. RNAcentral's name for it is "bacterial SSU rRNA". It matches the Rfam family "Archaeal small subunit ribosomal RNA", at positions 37 to 981 of the family's 1478-position model. The record is from RNAcentral. Lineage: Archaea; Methanobacteriati; Methanobacteriota; Halobacteria; Halobacteriales; Haloferacaceae.